This 301-nucleotide ribosomal RNA is filed under the name uncultured bacterium. RNAcentral's name for it is "partial 16S ribosomal RNA". It matches the Rfam family "Bacterial small subunit ribosomal RNA", at positions 509 to 807 of the family's 1533-position model. The record is from RNAcentral.
CAGUAGCCGCGGGAAAACGAAGGGGGCUAGCGUUGCUCGGAAUCACUGGGCGUAAAGGGUGCGUAGGCGGGUCUUUAAGUCAGGGGUGAAAUCCUGGAGCUCAACUCCAGAACUGCCUUUGAUACUGAAGAUCUUGAGUUCGGGAGAGGUGAGUGGAACUGCGAGUGUAGAGGUGAAAUUCGUAGAUAUUCGCAAGAACACCAGUGGCGAAGGCGGCCCACUGGCCCGAUACUGACGCUGAGGCACGAAAGCGUGGGGAGCAAACAGGAUUAGAUACCCCUGUAGUCCCUGUCUCUUAUAC